RNAcentral lists this ribosomal RNA (460 nucleotides) under uncultured bacterium. Its description in RNAcentral is "partial 16S ribosomal RNA". It matches the Rfam family "Bacterial small subunit ribosomal RNA", at positions 338 to 795 of the family's 1533-position model. The record is from RNAcentral.
CCUACGGGGGGCAGCAGUGAGGAAUAUUGGUCAAUGGACGAGAGUCUGAACCAGCCAAGUAGCGUGAAGGAUGACUGCCCUAUGGGUUGUAAACUUCUUUUAUAAAGGAAUAAAACGAGGCACGUGUGCCUUUUUGCAUGUACUUUAUGAAUAAGGAUCGGCUAACUCCGUGCCAGCAGCCGCGGUAAUACGGAGGAUCCGAGCGUUAUCCGGAUUUAUUGGGUUUAAAGGGAGCGUAGAUGGGUUGUUAAGUCAGUUGUGAAAGUUUGGGGGUCAACCGUAAAAUUGCAAUUGAUACUGGCAGUCUUGAGUACAGGUGAGGUAGGCGGAAUGCGUGGUGUAGCGGUGAAAUGCUUAGAGAUCACGCAGAACCCCGAUUGCGAAGGCAGCUUACUAAUCUAUGACUGACGUUGAGGCACGAAAGUGUGGGUAUCAAACAGGAUUAGAUACCCCAGUAGUC